CCCUUAGAUGUUCUGGGCCACACGCGCGCUACACUGACGAAUGCAACGAGCUUAUAACCUUGGCCGAAAGGUCUGGGUAAUCUCCAAAUUUCGUCGUGAUGGGGAUAGAUUAUUGCAAUUAUUAAUCUUCAACGAGGAAUGCCUAGUAAGCGCAAGUCAUCAGCUUGCGUUGAUUACGUCCCUGCCCUUUGUACACACCGCCCGUCGCUCCUACCGAUUGAAUGGUCCGGUGAAGCGUUCGGACCGUGGCCUUUGGACGGUUCGCCGUCUGUUGGCUGCGGGAAGUUCGUUAAACCUUAUCAUUUAGAGGAAGGAGAANUCGUANCA
RNAcentral lists this ribosomal RNA (327 nucleotides) under uncultured eukaryote. RNAcentral's name for it is "partial 18S ribosomal RNA". It matches the Rfam family "Eukaryotic small subunit ribosomal RNA", at positions 1470 to 1796 of the family's 1831-position model. The record is from RNAcentral.